ACACAGCAAUGCAACCGUAACAAUGGCUGUCACAUGAAUAAUUCCAAAAAAUAAUGGUCACCAUUUUGAAUAAUAACAGUAUUUAAAUGAACCGGAAUAUGCACCUGUUGUUUUUUAAUACAAGUUGAUAACAAUAAGGUAAACCCACUGCUGAAUGAACAGAAAAGGCUCCAAGAUUAAUAAA
Molecule: long non-coding RNA, 184 nt
Organism: Etheostoma cragini (Arkansas darter)
Lineage: Eukaryota; Metazoa; Chordata; Actinopteri; Perciformes; Percidae
Exons: 3
Source: RefSeq, a predicted model, not a curated record